Molecule: ribosomal RNA, 254 nt
Filed under: uncultured bacterium
Lineage: Bacteria
Description: partial 16S ribosomal RNA
Rfam family: Bacterial small subunit ribosomal RNA
Source: RNAcentral
UACGUAGGGGGCGAGCGUUGUCCGGAUUCAUUGGGCGUAAAGAGCUCGUAGGCGGCUUGGCAAGUCGGGUGUGAAAACUCCAGGCUCAACCUGGAGACGCCACCCGAUACUGCCAUGGCUUGAGUCCGGUAGGGGACCACGGAAUUCCUGGUGUAGCGGUGAAAUGCGCAGAUAUCAGGAGGAACACCGGUGGCGAAGGCGGUGGUCUGGGCCGGUACUGACGCUGAGGAGCGAAAGCGUGGGGAGCGAACAGG